This 710-nucleotide ribosomal RNA is filed under the name Pseudomonas putida. RNAcentral describes it as "bacterial LSU rRNA". It matches the Rfam family "Bacterial large subunit ribosomal RNA", at positions 2238 to 2925 of the family's 2925-position model. Lineage: Bacteria; Pseudomonadati; Pseudomonadota; Gammaproteobacteria; Pseudomonadales; Pseudomonadaceae. The record is from RNAcentral.
AUCCGGAUCGAGGACAGUGUAUGGUGGGUAGUUUGACUGGGGCGGUCUCCUCCUAAAGAGUAACGGAGGAGUACGAAGGUGCGCUCAGACCGGUCGGAAAUCGGUCGUAGAGUAUAAAGGCAAAAGCGCGCUUGACUGCGAGACAGACACGUCGAGCAGGUACGAAAGUAGGUCUUAGUGAUCCGGUGGUUCUGUAUGGAAGGGCCAUCGCUCAACGGAUAAAAGGUACUCCGGGGAUAACAGGCUGAUACCGCCCAAGAGUUCAUAUCGACGGCGGUGUUUGGCACCUCGAUGUCGGCUCAUCACAUCCUGGGGCUGAAGCCGGUCCCAAGGGUAUGGCUGUUCGCCAUUUAAAGUGGUACGCGAGCUGGGUUUAGAACGUCGUGAGACAGUUCGGUCCCUAUCUGCCGUGGACGUUUGAGAUUUGAGAGGGGCUGCUCCUAGUACGAGAGGACCGGAGUGGACGAACCUCUGGUGUUCCGGUUGUCACGCCAGUGGCAUUGCCGGGUAGCUAUGUUCGGAAAAGAUAACCGCUGAAAUCAUCUAAGCGGGAAACUUGCCUCAAGAUGAGAUCUCGCUGGAACCUUGAGUUCCCUGAAGGGCCGUCGAAGACUACGACGUUGAUAGGUGGGGUGUGUAAGCGCUGUGAGGCGUUGAGCUAACCCAUACUAAUUGCCCGUGAGGCUUGACCAUAUAACACCCAAGCAAUU